Long non-coding RNA from Anguilla rostrata (American eel), 3505 nucleotides. RefSeq lists it as uncharacterized. The transcript has 2 exons. Lineage: Eukaryota; Metazoa; Chordata; Actinopteri; Anguilliformes; Anguillidae. The record is from RefSeq and is a predicted model, not a curated record.
UGUGUGUGUGUGUGUGUGUGUGUGCAUGUGUGUGUGUGUGUAUGCGUGUGUGUGUGCGUGUGUGUGUGUGUGGGGCCACUGCAUUAUCUCUAUAAUCAAAGCAUCCAUAUUGUUGUUGGUUUCAGCAUUUAUAUUCUUAUUUUUAUUAAGCCUUUUGAAAUGAUUGUUGUGUUAUUUUUUGUUUUUUUGGCUCUGUGGGAGGGGCCCGGGAAAGCACUAAAGAGAGGCUGAUUAGUAGUGGGUUAAUAGUGUGGUAGUAGUGCGUUAGUAGUGUGGUAGUGUUAGUAGUGUAUGAACAGGGGGAAAGAUCGCACACAUGCACGCACAGACAGACAGACACACAUGCACGCGCGCACACACACACACACACACACACACGCACACACGGACAGACAGACACACAUGCGCACACACAGACACACACACACACACCCGAACAGACACACACACCCAUACACACACACAUACUGACAGUCAUGCAUGUACACACACACACACAUACACACACAUGGACAGUCACGCACGUAUACACAGACACAGACACACACACACACACACGCUCCCUCAAAGUUCAGCGUCUGCUGGGCCCUCCCACUGUUUUGACUGGUGUCUCCUGAUUGGACGAAGAGGCUGAGCUCUUUGGCCUUGCUUCCGGGCCCCAUGGGCAGGUGGGCUGAGGUAACUGAACGUGUUUCUUUGUUGUUUCGGGUGCUUCUGUCACCCGGGGCUCAGAGUGCUCCCUUUUUGAGGGGCACAGGUAGUUCCAUCUUAACCUGCCCUUUACCCUUUGACCUUUACCCUUUACUGCACCUUAACUUUGGCAUUUUUUUUAUUUUAUUAAUCUCCACAUAAUAUUAUUUAAUACUUUUACCAGGUCCUUCAGGUGGACUGCAUAACUUAACUAGUCAUGCCAAUAUUUACUUUUUUUUCCCCCACUUUCAGUUAAAAAAAUGUUUUCUCUUGCUAGGUUGUGUUUUUAAAAAAACUUUUUUUACAGAAUUAAAAUACCACUAUAUAGCGCGCGGUCACAUUCUCAUGUGCAGACCCGAGCUCUUCCUUCUUUUUGGUUAAUCGUAAAAGACGAGCCAUGCUGUGGGGGAGGAGGUGGUGAUACCACAACCGUCGAUUCUGCAGGGCGCAGACGAGCAUGCGCUCUCCUCUGAAGUGUGUGACUUGCACCGCUGCUGGUUAGCAUGCUGCAGUAUGCUAGCUCGCCACAAUACGUUAGCCUGCUGCAGUAUACUAGCAUGCCACAGUACACUAGCAUUACACAGUACGUUAGCCCGCUACAGUACACUAGCAUGCCACAGUACGUUAGCCCGCUGCAGUACACUAGCAUGCCACAGUACGUUAGCCCGCUGCAGUACACUAGCAUGCCACAGUACGUUAGCCCGCUGCAGUACACUAGCAUGCCACAGUACGUUAGCCCGCUGCAGUACACUAGCCCACCGCCGUACGUUAGCGCGCUGCCGCAGUACGCUAGCCUGCCACAGUACUCUGGCAUGAGACAGUACGCUAGUCUGCCACAGUACGCUAGCGCGCCGCAGUACGCUAGCCGGGCUCGUGCAGACUGGAGCGCGAGGAGGACACUUUUUGCGCAGCCCAAGAGGAGAAUCCGCGGGCGCCCGGUUGACCAGCCGCGGUCGUUGUUGUGCGAUGAGGCUCUUUCAUCUCUGCCGACUGGAAUCCGCCCAUCCUUGGGUGAGGCUAGAGCUGCUUAACCACGCGGCUGCUGGAAAGAUGAUUGGUCAGCGAUCAUCACUGUAUUCGGCUGAUUGCGGGGAAUUAUUUCACAUUUAUCCACGCUGUCUCACGCCCCCCCCCCCCCCGCCACUGGCUGUUGCGAGACGUGCAAAAAUAUGCCUGCUCUGUGUAAAAAAUAAUUUUUUUUACAAUUAUUUUUAAUGAUAUUUUUGUUUUUGUUAUUAUGUUAUUAUACGUUGUGAUUAUACUGUAUGUGUCGUCUGUGUUUUUUGCACAUAGAUCAUCACACAGAGCCCUGCUGCGUUCAAGAAGCUAAUGCCACACAAAAACUUUGGGGUCUAUGCAAUAGUGAACAAAACAGUCAAGCUCCCCAAGAACAGCAGAGGGUUGGACAGCGGUGCAGCAUGGGAAAUGUAGUCUGUAGCGCCAUAUCCUGUAGGCGGUGGGCACAGUGUACUUGGAUUUGUGCAGAUCCACGCAGGUCUUUAUCUGAUCUGGAUAAGCUUGAUGAAUGUGAUCGGCUUAACUGGAUCAAUUUCAAGAUUGGUGAAUCUGCACAGGUGUGACGCAGACACCAUCGGGGAGAACAUGACCCGUAGCUUUGGACUCCAUUUCCCAGCAGCACCUGAGAAACUUGCCACCGUAACAGACUCGCAUCAGAAUGUUCCCUAGUGUUGGGCAUCCUGUGUUAGAACCUGACAACGGCGUUCCCUGAAAGCUGAAUAUUUACUCCUCGAGAAUGCUAACACUGGUGAUUUUUUUAGUUUUUUUUUUUUUUUUAACGUCGUUCUUUUUAAAAAUAUCUUAGGGCUCUGUAAUAAACCUUAUGCCUUUAUGUGUCUUUGUGUUGAGCUUGAAAUGGCCAAGUGUGCAUUUUUAACAAGCCAUUCGCUGUUGUGACAUUACUAUUAAAGUUUAUAUGUUGCAAAUGAGGUCUUGGGUAUCUCUGCUGUGUGCACUGGUGACUGCUGCUCCUCCAUGCCGAUGCCAUUUUAUUGGAGGCCCGCUGGAUGCUUUUUUUUAUAGCAGGGUUUUCAAGAAGACCGGUAAUGGACUGCAUAAUGGAUUCCUCAAGAGAAAAUAUUUCAAGGCCUGACCUCCCCUGUUUCCUGCUGAACCGUGCGGCUAAACACCCUGGAGCCCGGAGGCUGUACUGCCCCACCCCCCCCACCCCUGUCGGUGUUGGAUUGCACCAAGGAUUCCAUUUCUGAAGAAGCCCUUUGUUGCCCACACUUCCGGAGAAGUUCCCCUCCGAGACCUGAAGUUCCCAAAUUACCGGAUCGCACCGCCAUGAUGAAGCCCAGCUCCUGGCUUUUUAAUUUCUCGGACUUGAGGGUGAGGUUGGGCUACACGGAUUCAGUGGCUACUCCGCUCAAGCCUGUGUCACUGACCUUCGGUGGAGAUGAUUGGUGUUCAUUGACAGCGAUUGACUUCUUUGACAGCUGGAUUUUUUUAUGAGCCACCAGGAAGCCCACUGUCAUCGAGGGGAAUGCUGACAUCCUUAAACCUCCAAUAUUGGGUGUUUUGUUUUUGUUUUUGUUUUCUUUUGUUUAUAGAAAGGACAUGUUUUGGUGACACUAAUCCCUUCAAGAAUCCUGACGUGAAUUUUUAAAAAUAUGAAUAUAAAUUUUAAGCCUUGUUUAUUUUACAUUUACAGAUUUUUUUAAGCACCUGGGUGCUCAACAGAGGGUCCUCAGAAGUACUGUAGGGGGUCCCUGGCCAGACUUGAUAUGCAUCGACGAUACACAGAUUAGGGAAAAUAUUUCAUAAUAUAACAUUUUUAUUAAAAAAUGAUAUAUAA